Molecule: long non-coding RNA, 111 nt
Organism: Dermochelys coriacea (leatherback sea turtle)
Lineage: Eukaryota; Metazoa; Chordata; Testudines; Dermochelyidae
Exons: 2
Source: RefSeq, a predicted model, not a curated record
GAUGGAGCAGGAAUCCUCCAGGGACAUCUCCAUGAAGCUUUCCUGGAGGUGUAAAUGUUUCUAUGCUCCCUCUAUCGUCUCCGUCCCUGAGAUUAUCGCAGAUUAGAAUGC